Long non-coding RNA from Ipomoea nil (Japanese morning glory), 175 nucleotides. RefSeq lists it as uncharacterized. The transcript has 2 exons. NCBI's taxonomy places the organism in Eukaryota, Viridiplantae, Streptophyta, Magnoliopsida, Solanales, Convolvulaceae. The record is from RefSeq and is a predicted model, not a curated record.
GGAUUUGGUUUUAAGGUGGUUUGAGGUUGACUUGAAUAUAUUGAGAGAUGUGAUUGUUGUUUCCUAUGAUGGUUCCUGUAGAGGAAAUGAGAGAUUUGUCAAAGAUGACAGUUUGACCAAUUAUUGCCAACUUGGAAUCAGUGGUGGUCAUCAAGGAUGUUGACUCAGCUUAUAU